RNAcentral lists this ribosomal RNA (1345 nucleotides) under uncultured bacterium. RNAcentral's name for it is "partial 16S ribosomal RNA". It matches the Rfam family "Bacterial small subunit ribosomal RNA", at positions 28 to 1380 of the family's 1533-position model. The record is from RNAcentral.
GACGAACGCUGGCGGCGUGCUUAACACAUGCAAGUCGAACGGAAAGGCCCUGCUUUUGUGGGGUGCUCGAGUGGCGAACGGGUGAGUAACACGUGAGUAACCUGCCCUUGACUUUGGGAUAACUUCAGGAAACUGGGGCUAAUACCGGAUAGGAGCUCCUGCUGCAUGGUGGGGGUUGGAAAGUUUCGGCGGUUGGGGAUGGACUCGCGGCUUAUCAGCUUGUUGGUGGGGUAGUGGCUUACCAAGGCUUUGACGGGUAGCCGGCCUGAGAGGGUGACCGGCCACAUUGGGACUGAGAUACGGCCCAGACUCCUACGGGAGGCAGCAGUGGGGAAUAUUGCACAAUGGGCGGAAGCCUGAUGCAGCAACGCCGCGUGCGGGAUGACGGCCUUCGGGUUGUAAACCGCUUUCGCCUGUGACGAAGCGUGAGUGACGGUAAUGGGUAAAGAAGCACCGGCUAACUACGUGCCAGCAGCCGCGGUGAUACGUAGGGUGCGAGCGUUGUCCGGAUUUAUUGGGCGUAAAGGGCUCGUAGGUGGUUGAUCGCGUCGGAAGUGUAAUCUUGGGGCUUAACCCUGAGCGUGCUUUCGAUACGGGUUGACUUGAGGAAGGUAGGGGAGAAUGGAAUUCCUGGUGGAGCGGUGGAAUGCGCAGAUAUCAGGAGGAACACCAGUGGCGAAGGCGGUUCUCUGGGCCUUUCCUGACGCUGAGGAGCGAAAGCGUGGGGAGCGAACAGGCUUAGAUACCCUGGUAGUCCACGCUGUAAACGGUGGGUACUAGGUGUGGGGUCCAUUCCACGGGUUCCGUGCCGUAGCUAACGCUUUAAGUACCCCGCCUGGGGAGUACGGCCGCAAGGCUAAAACUCAAAGGAAUUGACGGGGCCCCGCACAAGCGGCGGAGCAUGCGGAUUAAUUCGAUGCAACGCGUAGAACCUUACCUGGGUUUGACAUGGAUCGGGAGUGCUCAGAGAUGGGUGUGCCUCUUUUGGGGUCGGUUCACAGGCGGUGCAUGCCUGUCGUCAGCUCGUGUCGUGAGAUGUUGGGUUAAGUCCCGCAACGAGCGCAACCCUUGUUCACUGUUGCCAGCACGUUAUGGUGGGGACUCAGUGGAGACCGCCGGGGUCAACUCGGAGGAAGGUGGGGAUGACGUCAAGUCAUCAUGCCCCUUAUGUCCAGGGCUUCACGCAUGCUACAAUGGCUGGUACAGAGAGUGGCGAGCCUGUGAGGGUGAGCGAAUCUCGGAAAGCCGGUCUCAGUUCGGAUUGGGGUCUGCAACUCGACCUCAUGAAGUCGGAGUCGCUAGUAAUCGCAGAUCAGCAACGCUGCGGUGAAUACGUUCCCGGGGC